Molecule: ribosomal RNA, 161 nt
Filed under: Odontarrhena tortuosa
Lineage: Eukaryota; Viridiplantae; Streptophyta; Magnoliopsida; Brassicales; Brassicaceae
Description: 5.8S ribosomal RNA
Rfam family: 5.8S ribosomal RNA
About the family: 5.8S ribosomal RNA (5.8S rRNA) is a component of the large subunit of the eukaryotic ribosome.
Source: RNAcentral
AAAACGACUCUCGGCAACGGAUAUCUCGGCUCUCGCAUCGAUGAAGAACGUAGCGAAAUGCGAUACUUGGUGUGAAUUGCAGAAUCCCGUGAACCAUCGAGUCUUUGAACGCAAGUUGCGCCCCAAGCCUUCUGGCCGAGGGCACGUCUGCCUGGGUGUCA